This 813-nucleotide ribosomal RNA is filed under the name uncultured bacterium. RNAcentral's name for it is "bacterial SSU rRNA". It matches the Rfam family "Bacterial small subunit ribosomal RNA", at positions 28 to 822 of the family's 1533-position model. The record is from RNAcentral.
GAUGAACGCUGGCGGCGUGCCUAAUACANGCAAGUCAGAGCGAACCUGAGGGAGCUUGCUCCCAAAGUUAGCGGCGGACGGGUGAGUAACACGUGGGCAACCUGCCUAUAAGACUGGGAUAACUUCGGGAAACCGGAGCUAAUACCGGAUAACAUAUGAGACCACAUGGUCUCAUAUUGAAAGAUGGCUUUUAGCUACCACUUAUAGAUGGGCCCGCGGCGCAUUAGCUAGUUGGUGAGGUAAUGGCUCACCAAGGCGACGAUGCGUAGCCGACCUGAGAGGGUGAUCGGCCACACUGGGACUGAGACACGGCCCAGACUCCUACGGGAGGCAGCAGUAGGGAAUCUUCCGCAAUGGACGAAAGUCUGACGGAGCAACGCCGCGUGAGCGAAUAAGGUCUUCGGAUCGUAAAGCUCUGUUGUUAGGGAAGAACAAGUACCGUUCGAAUAGGGCGGUACCUUGACGGUACCUAACCAGAAAGCCACGGCUAACUACGUGCCAGCAGCCGCGGUAAUACGUAGGUGGCAAGCGUUAUCCGGAAUUAUUGGGCGUAAAGCGCGCGCAGGCGGUCCUUUAAGUCUGAUGUGAAAGCCCACGGCUCAACCGUGGAGGGUCAUUGGAAACUGGGGGACUUGAGUGCAGAAGAGGAGAGCGGAAUUCCACGUGUAGCGGUGAAAUGCGUAGAGAUGUGGAGGAACACCAGUGGCGAAGGCGGCUCUCUGGUCUGUAACUGACGCUGAGGCGCGAAAGCGUGGGGAGCGAACAGGAUUAGAUACCCUGGUAGUCCACGCCGUAAACGAUGAGUGCUAAGUG